Molecule: transfer RNA, 89 nt
Filed under: Thermoleophilaceae bacterium
Lineage: Bacteria; Bacillati; Actinomycetota; Thermoleophilia; Thermoleophilales; Thermoleophilaceae
Description: tRNA-Ser
Rfam family: tRNA
About the family: Transfer RNA (tRNA) molecules are approximately 80 nucleotides in length. Their secondary structure includes four short double-helical elements and three loops (D, anti-codon, and T loops).
Source: RNAcentral
GGAGGGGUGGCAGAGUGGUUGAAUGCGGCGGUCUCGAAAACCGUUUACGGCCGUAAGGUCGUACGGGGGUUCGAAUCCCUCCCCCUCCG